GAGAGUCAAUCAUAAAUGUCAUUAACUUCUAAAAUUUUCUUUCCUGAUCUCAAAAUUAAACGGGCAAAAUGAGAUUUUUGACAAUCUACAAUACAAUUAAUUUGGGACAUUUACUUUACACAUCAUCAUAGACAAGAAUACUUUGUUUUUGAAUAAUAAGUACACAGUAAUAUGAUUACUUAAGGGAAACCGCACAAAGGUCGAAAAAGAAUAAAUUAGUGCGUAGAAGAAAACACCAAAACUAUACCCAAAUCAACAUCAUCCUAUUCAAAGCACCUCCAACCAAGUAAUGGCUGGAAUGAUAUAGAGGCAAAAAAAGUCAAGCUGUUAAUGGAUCACAAACAUAAUAACAAUUCUAACCAAGACACUGAUGCAACCCUAUUUUUUAUCUUCUCCCAAAAGCUUACAAACCAAUUUUGGUUUCUACUGAUAAGAAUCGCCGCGGAUUGUACGUAAACCGAGGCAGCAUGCUUCACCAAUUGAUUUCUGAUCAUGAUAUUUGACGGGUCAAAAUCAUGAUAUGCCUCAUAACUGAAUGCAAGACUGCUUGGAGGUGAAUUUAGAAUGAUAUCUUUUAAACUCGUGUACCUAUGUUCGUCAUCAAGUACCGCAUCUUCUUGUUGUGAACAACUACUUCUCAGGGAUGUUAUUGAUGAUAAUUUCUUUAGGAUUUGGAGCUCUUGAUCCAUCACUAAUGACUGAGCAAUUCACUAAUUUUGAUUAAUUAAGGAGAGAGGUUGAUGAUGGGGUAUUGAAGGUGGUAAAUCUUGUUUUGGUUUGGGAUAAUCAAGGUGAAAAUUAUUCACAGGGGAAUAAAGGGUUCCCAUGAAUGUUUUUGCUUACGAGUAUAGUUUUAAGGAUACAAAGUAAUUUUGGUUCGGUAAAUUAUGCUGGAGAGAGAUU
Molecule: long non-coding RNA, 903 nt
Filed under: Ricinus communis (castor bean)
Lineage: Eukaryota; Viridiplantae; Streptophyta; Magnoliopsida; Malpighiales; Euphorbiaceae
Description: long non-coding RNA (RCOM_LNC001136)
Source: RNAcentral